This is a long non-coding RNA of Phacochoerus africanus (Common warthog), 679 nucleotides long. RefSeq lists it as uncharacterized. The transcript has 3 exons. Lineage: Eukaryota; Metazoa; Chordata; Mammalia; Artiodactyla; Suidae. The record is from RefSeq and is a predicted model, not a curated record.
CUCAGGGAAAGCAAAGCACUUUCUCUCUGUUAGGAAUACAAAGAAAAGAGGCAUCUCCAGGAAGGAACGCCAGUUUCCAGAAAUGGGGCCUCUUCAGGGACUGCCUGAUCCCUUCACAAUGGUUUUGCUCCUGAUCAAGAAAAAGAAAUGUGAUCUCACAGUCUCCUUGUAGCUCUCCUUCACGGAAGCCAUUCUCCUGUAUGCAAACCAAAACGAAUUCUAGGGCAUGGCUGAAAAGUACAUUUGCAGGAAGGACAUGACAGAAUAAAACUGAAGGACUGAAAGGAGAGCCCCUGGGAGUGAUAAAGCAUGGCAGAUAAUGUGCAGAAGGAGGAAUUCAAGAAAAGAAACACCCUACCAUUGUCACUGAACUCCUGGGAUCCCUCAUAAGCUGUCCUUGCACAGUUCUGAUCUUAAAAGCAUUCCCUAGCUUUUAUGAACUGGCCUACAGAAUAGGGCAACAGCUAGUUUCCAGUUUAGCCACUGAAUAGUAGUGCAUAUGGGAACAAUUCCAAGUGCCUCUGCAAAAGGUUUGAAACAAAACUGACAUUUUAAAAUACUAAUUCAGUUUUAAAAGUAAUUCUACAAUUAGUCAAGUUAUUAUUCAUUCUUAGUGAUUUUGAUAGCUCAUCAUACUUUAGGAAAUGGUCUAUUACAUGCAAAUCAUUGUUUAUGUUCA